AGCCCCGUGGUGUAGUGGUCAACCUUUCCCUACAAACUGAGUUAUAUCUUAUCGGUGUUUCCGAAGGAAAGGAUUAUGCAUAACUGGCUCUGGACCAGUUGACGUAGGUUCGAAUCCUGCCGGGGCUA
RNAcentral lists this transfer RNA (128 nucleotides) under Candidatus Aenigmatarchaeota archaeon. RNAcentral's name for it is "tRNA-Gln". It matches the Rfam family "tRNA". From Rfam's summary of the family: Transfer RNA (tRNA) molecules are approximately 80 nucleotides in length. Lineage: Archaea; Nanobdellati; Candidatus Aenigmatarchaeota. The record is from RNAcentral.